GUCGGAAUGGCGCAGUGGUCUACCGCGGAAGAUUCGAAUUACCCGGAUUCCGGUCCGGAGACGUUGCAUCUUCUCCUCUCCGAGGGCGCAGGUUCGAAUCCUGCUUCCGACG
Non-coding RNA from Hyaloraphidium curvatum, 112 nucleotides. Lineage: Eukaryota; Fungi; Monoblepharomycota; Hyaloraphidiomycetes; Hyaloraphidiales; Hyaloraphidiaceae. The record is from the annotation of a GenBank genome assembly.